This 232-nucleotide ribosomal RNA is filed under the name uncultured bacterium. RNAcentral's name for it is "partial 16S ribosomal RNA". It matches the Rfam family "Bacterial small subunit ribosomal RNA", at positions 1268 to 1500 of the family's 1533-position model. The record is from RNAcentral.
CAAAUCCCUAAAAGCCAUCCCAGUUCGGAUCGCAGGCUGCAACCCGCCUGCGUGAAGUUGGAAUCGCUAGUAAUCGCGGAUCAGCAUGCCGCGGUGAAUACGUUCCCGGGCCUUGUACACACCGCCCGUCACACCAUGAGAGUCGGGAACACCCGAAGUCCGUAGUCUAACCGCAAGGGGGACGCGGCCGAAGGUGGGUUCGAUAAUUGGGGUGAAGUCGUAACAAGGUAGC